GACGAACGCUGGCGGCGUGCCUAAUACAUGCAAGUAGAACGCACAGUUUAUACCGUAGCUUGCUACACCAUACACUGUGAGUUGCGAACGGGUGAGUAACGCGUAGGUAACCUGCCUGGUAGCGGGGGAUAACUAUUGGAAACGAUAGCUAGUACCGCAUAAUAUUGAUUAUUGCAUGAUAAUUGAUUGAAAGAUGCUAUUGCAUCACUACCAGAUGGACCUGCGUUGUAUUAGCUAGUAGGUGAGGUAACGGCGCACCUAGGCGACGAGACAUAGCCGACAUGAGAGGGUGAGCGGCCACACUGGGAGUGAGACAAGGCCCAGACGCCUACGGGAGGCAGCAGUAGGGAAUCUUCGGCAAUGGACGAAAGUCUGACCGAGCAACGCCGCGGGAGGGAAGAAGGUUGUCGGGUCGUAAAGCUCGGUUGUAAGAGAAGAACGGGUGUGAGAGUGGAAAGUUCACACUGUGACGGUAUCUUACCAGAAAGGGACGGCUAACUACGUG
This 505-nucleotide ribosomal RNA is filed under the name uncultured bacterium. Its description in RNAcentral is "partial 16S ribosomal RNA". It matches the Rfam family "Bacterial small subunit ribosomal RNA", at positions 28 to 507 of the family's 1533-position model. The record is from RNAcentral.